This 1339-nucleotide long non-coding RNA is filed under the name Sparus aurata (gilthead seabream). RNAcentral describes it as "lncRNA (ENSSAUG00010011504.1)". The record is from RNAcentral. Lineage: Eukaryota; Metazoa; Chordata; Actinopteri; Spariformes; Sparidae.
UUGCACCAGAGGCAACACAUGAUAUGACAGUGUGUAAGCCCAAAACAAAAAGAAGUGUAAGGACUGGUGCAAAGUGCACACUGUACAGAGCAUAUGCUGGUGAGUUUGAAUGAGUUUUACUCUCCUCUUUAUUCUCUUCUAUUCUCAUCUUCUGUCCUGUCUUUGUCUACUCUCAUCCUCUUUCCUCUCAUUUACUCUUUCUCUAUUUUUGUCAGGGCCUCUUCCAGAUCCUCAUAUGAUGGCCAGUGGAGAAAAACUCAAAGACAUUCAUCCACAACCAGGGUUAUGCAAACUGCUGCAUGGGCUUGAGAACCUUAAUUUGGUCGACUCUAAAUUUGGUCCUGUGCCAUUUGGCUCUGUCCUUUCUUACCAGUGCCCUCCUGAAAUAAGUAAAGACUGUAUUAGACACCCUGAUGCCCCUGCGUUUCCGCAGUUACCUGUUGAUGGCUACAAUUUUAAAUUCCCAGCAAAUUAUGAGCUCAGUUACAAGCAACAAUGCCACCUGGAGAGCCUGAAGGUAACACGGGAGAUCUCAGCUGCUAUUGAAGCUGAAACCAGGCAGCAGUCAGAAUGCCAGUUAUGGACCCUGGUACGCAAACCCCGACUCACAGCCAGCCGAUUCCGUGAGAUAUGCCAUGUUUGUGGGGAGUCUUCUGCCAAAGCCUUGGCUUCUCGCAUCCUGAGGGGAACUCCUCAGACUGCUGCCAUGAAACGAGGUUUGGACCUGGAAUCUGAGAUUCUGCGGCAGUAUGCAGAUUUUUGUGAUGUUUCAGUGACACCUUCUGGAGUAAUAAUCCACCCAGACGCACCUCACCUUGGGGCUAGCCCUGAUGCCAAAGUCUUCAACCCUUGUGAAGUACCACCAUUUGGCCUGGCAGAGGUCAAGAUCUGCAACGUGGAAAGUGUUGCACAAGUGAAACACCUGACCACAGUUAAAGGCAAAGCCUUCUUACGGAAGACUCACAAAUACUAUUAUCAGGUGCAAGGACAACUGGCCAUAAGUGGCCUUCAGUGGUGUGAUUUCAUUACAGAUACGCACACUGACUUCACAGUUGAACGCAUCUUUAGGGAUGAGGAGAUUAUCCAGUCAAUGCGCCAAAAGCUGGAUGACUUCUAUUUUAACAUCUACAUGGAUGUCUUCUUACGUAGUAAAGCUUAAAAAUGACUUGAGAGUAGUGUAGUAGAGCUAGUAGAUGUAGAGCUACAUUUGAAAGGUCAGUAGGUAAUCACCUAUGAAGCUGAUACAACAGUUCCUCCUACACCAAAUGUGUAAAAAUGUUUUUUGAUUGGUUUCAAAAUGUUUGUUGCAAUGUUUGAAUGUUUUCAGAAUUGAACUGAU